This 211-nucleotide ribosomal RNA is filed under the name Calditrichota bacterium. RNAcentral's name for it is "Calditrichaeota bacterium partial 16S ribosomal RNA". It matches the Rfam family "Bacterial small subunit ribosomal RNA", at positions 1337 to 1533 of the family's 1533-position model. Lineage: Bacteria; Pseudomonadati; Calditrichota. The record is from RNAcentral.
AGUAAUCGCGGAUCAGCACGCCGCGGUGAAUACGUUCCCGGGCCUUGUACACACCGCCCGUCACGCCAUGGGAGUCGGCAGUACCCGAAGUCGCUCACCCAACCCCGCCUUGGCGGGGAGGGAGGCGCCGAAGGUAAGGCCGAUGACUGGGGCGAAGUCGUAACAAGGUAGCCGUACCGGAAGGUGCGGCUGGAUCACCUCCUUUCUAAGG